This 421-nucleotide ribosomal RNA is filed under the name uncultured bacterium. RNAcentral's name for it is "bacterial SSU rRNA". It matches the Rfam family "Bacterial small subunit ribosomal RNA", at positions 420 to 856 of the family's 1533-position model. The record is from RNAcentral.
GGGUUGUAAACCUCUUUUCACAGGGAUGGAUAAUGACAGUACCUGAGGAAUAAGUCACGGCUAACUACGUGCCAGCAGCCGCGGUAAUACGUAGGUGGCGAGCGUUAUCCGGAUUUAUUGGGCGUAAAGUGAGCGCAGACGGUUUUUCAAGUCAGAUGUUAAAUCUCUCGGCCUAACCGGGUGGGUGCAUUUGAUACUGUUAAACUAGAGGACAACAGAGGGAGGUAGAAUUCCCGGUGUAGUGGUGGAAUGCGUAGAUAUCGGGAGGAAUACCAGUGGCGAAGGCGGCCUCCUGGGUUGUUUCUGACGUUCAUGCUCGAAGGUGUGGGGAGCAAACAGGAUUAGAUACCCUGGUAGUCCACACUGUAAACGAUGGACACUAGGUAUAGGGAGUAUCGACCCUCUCUGUGCCGAAGCUAAC